Molecule: ribosomal RNA, 253 nt
Filed under: uncultured bacterium
Lineage: Bacteria
Description: partial 16S ribosomal RNA
Rfam family: Bacterial small subunit ribosomal RNA
Source: RNAcentral
UACGUAGGGUGCAAGCGUUAAUCGGAAUUACUGGGCGUAAAGCGUGCGCAGGCGGCUAUGCAAGACAGAUGUGAAAUCCCCGGGCUUAACCUGGGAACUGCAUUUGUGACUGCAUGGCUAGAGUACGGUAGAGGGGGAUGGAAUUCCGCGUGUAGCAGUGAAAUGCGUAGAUAUGCGGAGGAACACCGAUGGCGAAGGCAAUCCCCUGGACCUGUACUGGCGCUCAUGCACGAAAGCGUGGGGAGCAAACAGG